AACGAACGCUGGCGGCAUGCCUAACACAUGCAAGUCGAACGAAACCUUCGGGUCUAGUCGCGCACGGGUUCGUAACGCGUGGGAACCUGCCCUUAGGUUCGGAAUAACUCCCCGAAAGGGGUGCUAAUACCGGAUCAUGUCUUCUGACCAAAGAUUUAUCGCCCUUGGAUGGGCCCGCGUUGGAUUCGCUAGUUGGUAGGGUAAAAGCAUCCCAAGGCGACGAUCCAUAACUUGUAUGAGAGGCUGGUCAGCCACACUGAGACUGAGAGGCGGCCCAGACUCGUACGGGAGGGAGGAGAGGGGAAUAUUGGACAAUCGGCGGAGGGAUGAAGCACCACGGACGGGUAAGUGAUGAAGGCAUUAGGGUUGUAAAGCUCUUGUACCCGGGAUGAUAAUGACAGUACCGGGAGAAUAAGCCCCGGCUAACUCCGUG
Molecule: ribosomal RNA, 433 nt
Filed under: uncultured bacterium
Lineage: Bacteria
Description: partial 16S ribosomal RNA
Rfam family: Bacterial small subunit ribosomal RNA
Source: RNAcentral